UUUGAUCAUGGCUCAGGACGAACGCUGGCGGCGUGCUUAACACAUGCAAGCCGAACGGUGAAGGGGCCUGCUUUUGUGGGUCCUGGAUGAGUGGCGAACGGGUGAGUAACACGUGAGUAACCUGCCCCCUUCUUCUGGAUAACCGCAUGAAAGUGUGGCUAAUACGGGAUAUUCUGUGCCUGCUGCAUGGUGGGUGUGGGAAAGAUUGCGCUUUUUUGGUGUUUUUGGUGGGGGAUGGGCUCGCGGCCUAUCAGCUUGUUGGUGGGGUGAUGGCCUACCAAGGCGGUGACGGGUAGCCGGCCUGAGAGGGUGGACGGUCACACUGGGACUGAGACACGGCCCAGACUCCUACGGGAGGCAGCAGUGGGGAAUAUUGCACAAUGGGCGCAAGCCUGAUGCAGCGACGCCGCGUGAGGGAUGGAGGCCUUCGGGUUGUGAACCUCUUUCGCCAGUGAAGCAGGCCUGCCUCGUUUUGUGGGUGGGUUGACGGUAGCUGGAUAAGAAGCGCCGGCUAACUACGUGCCAGCAGCCGCGGUAAUACGUAGGGCGCGAGCGUUGUCCGGAAUUAUUGGGCGUAAAGAGCUCGUAGGCGGCUGGUCGCGUCUGUCGUGAAAUCCUCUGGCUUAACUGGGGGCUUGCGGUGGGUACGGGCCGGCUUGAGUGCGGUAGGGGAGACUGGAACUCCUGGUGUAGCGGUGGAAUGCGCAGAUAUCAGGAAGAACACCGGUGGCGAAGGCGGGUCUCUGGGCCGUUACUGACGCUGAGGAGCGAAAGCGUGGGGAGCGAACAGGAUUAGAUACCCUGGUAGUCCACGCCGUAAACGUUGGGCACUAGGUGUGGGGGGCCUUUUCCGGGUUUUCCGCGCCGUAGCUAACGCAUUAAGUGCCCCGCCUGGGGAGUACGGCCGCAAGGCUAAAACUCAAAGGAAUUGACGGGGGCCCGCACAAGCGGCGGAGCAUGCGGAUUAAUUCGAUGCAACGCAAAGAACCUUACCAAGGCUUGACAUGUGCCGGUCGGCUCCGGAGACGGGGUUUCCUCCUUGUGGGGCCGGUUCACAGGUGGUGCAUGGUUGUCGUCAGCUCGUGUCGUGAGAUGUUGGGUUAAGUCCCGCAACGAGCGCAACCCUUGUCUCGUGUUGCCAGCACGUUGUGGUGGGGACUCGCGGGAGACUGCCGGGGUCAACUCGGAGGAAGGUGGGGAUGACGUCAAAUCAUCAUGCCCCUUAUGUCUUGGGCUUCACGCAUGCUACAAUGGCCGGUACAGAGGGCUGCGAUACCGUGAGGUGGAGCGAAUCCCUUAAAGCCGGUCUCAGUUCGGAUCGGUGUCUGCAAACUCGACACCGUGAAGUUGGAGUCGCUAGUAAUCGCAGAUCAGCAACGCUGCGGUGAAUACGUUCUCGGGCCUUGCACACACCGCCCGUCA
Molecule: ribosomal RNA, 1422 nt
Filed under: uncultured bacterium
Lineage: Bacteria
Description: bacterial SSU rRNA
Rfam family: Bacterial small subunit ribosomal RNA
Source: RNAcentral